GGAGAGUCCUUAUCUGAUAAAGGCUACAAAGAAUACAGGCUUGGAGAUUACUCUAAUUGGCUGCAGAAACGGGUCAACAGUGACAAGAAUUGGAAUAAGAUUAGGAGUUGUUUGCAAGACAGUAAGAUUUGCCAGAGGCUGCUGGAUGAUGGCUCCUCCACCAGAGUUGAAGAUUUUUACAGGGAACGCCUCUCUGCUCUUCAGGUAAAUACAGCAUACAUAAGUUUUGCAUUAUUUGGUUCUUGGAAAUUCAUUGUAAACAAGAAAACUUAAGAUCCUUCUCUUAAUUAUAUGCAAUAAAUCUAAUUGCUUUUAAAAGUUGAUGGGGGAUCUGAUCUCUUUUUGAGCGAAUAAGGAAUAAAUAUCUCUUUGUUUGACAUAUUCUUAUACCAUAGAGGUUUGGGUCACGACACCACUCACAAACUUUAUUUAUUUAUUAUUUCCUUUGAUACUUCUUCCAACACGUUUCUCACAUGUUCUCCUCAAUUCAUUGUCUUUUAUGAAUUAUUCUUUUCCUUCAAACCUCUGAGUGAGUUAUAGCAAAGUGUUAGUGAUUUGAGCAACAAUAAUAACGAUGAAGAAUAUGAAAUCGACAAAGAAAUGUAAUCUUACCCCUGUUUGAGCCACAUUUUUACCUCAUUAAAAUAAAAAAUAUGAUUAUUAUCCAUCACAUUAAGCCAUUAUUUUUGAAUUUCUAUCUCUGAUAUGAGGUCCAUAACGGCUCUAUUUUUCAUUCUCAUUUUCAUUAUAAUGUGGCUCAAACAGACUCUUAAUGUCAAACAGAACUUCAGUGUACAUAUCUAUUAGUAUACUUCUGAUGGUUCAACUUUUAUAUAAGCUGUGACAAUUAUUUUCUUGUACGUCCAUUCCCUCUCUAAUAUAAUAUUCUAAUCAUGUUCGCUAGUUAGCUGAUCUUGGAUUUGCCAUCCAGUUUCUUUCGUUUUCGUAUUCGAAAACCCAACUUCUCUAUCAAACUUACUAAUACUGCUCUUGUAUCAUUUCUUCAGUCUGGUUGCUGUAAACCAUCAAACGACUGCAACUUCCAGUAUGUUAGCCCGACCAACUGGACUAGGACCUCUCAAUCGUCGUCAACGAAUUCCGACUGCGCUAAGUGGAGCAAUGACCCUAAUGCUUUGUGCUAUAGCUGCCAAUCAUGCAAGGCGGGGUUGCUGGAUAACAUCAAGAGAGACUGGAAGAGGGUGGCCGUCAUCAACAUCAUAUUCCUAGUCUUUCUCAUAAUCGUCUACUCCGUUGGAUGCUGCGCUAUUAGAAACAAUCGGGAGGACAACGGAUGGAAACGAUAUCCUUGAAUGUGUCCAUAAGAUUCUGG
This 1330-nucleotide long non-coding RNA is filed under the name Olea europaea (common olive). RNAcentral describes it as "long non-coding RNA (OEUR_LNC004287)". Lineage: Eukaryota; Viridiplantae; Streptophyta; Magnoliopsida; Lamiales; Oleaceae. The record is from RNAcentral.